CCUGAACGCUGGCGGCGUGGCUAAGACAUGCAAGUCGCACGGUGUAGCAAUACACAGUGGCGAACGGGAGAGUAAUGAAUCGCUAAUGUACCCCGGACUCUGGGAUAGCUAUCCGAAAGGGUAGGUAAUACCAGAUGAGACCACGGUCAGGCAUCUGACUGUGCUCAAAGGUCCGCCGGUCUGGGAGCAGGCGAUUUCGUAUCAGCUAGUUGGGAGGUAACGGCUCACCAAGGCGACGACGCGUAGCCGGACUGAGAGGUUGGCCGGCCUCAUUGGGACUGAGACACUGCCCAGACUCCUACGGGGGCUGCAGUAACGAAUCUUCCGCAAUGCACGAAAGUGUGACGGAGCGACGCCGCGUGUGGGAC
This 368-nucleotide ribosomal RNA is filed under the name uncultured bacterium. RNAcentral describes it as "bacterial SSU rRNA". It matches the Rfam family "Bacterial small subunit ribosomal RNA", at positions 30 to 409 of the family's 1533-position model. The record is from RNAcentral.